This 344-nucleotide RNase P RNA is filed under the name Nitratifractor salsuginis DSM 16511. RNAcentral's name for it is "Bacterial RNase P class A". It matches the Rfam family "Bacterial RNase P class A". Rfam says of the family: Ribonuclease P (RNase P) is a ubiquitous endoribonuclease, found in archaea, bacteria and eukarya as well as chloroplasts and mitochondria. Its best characterised activity is the generation of mature 5'-ends of tRNAs by cleaving the 5'-leader elements of precursor-tRNAs. Cellular RNase Ps are ribonucleoproteins. The record is from Rfam by way of RNAcentral. Lineage: Bacteria; Pseudomonadati; Campylobacterota; Epsilonproteobacteria; Campylobacterales; Sulfurovaceae.
GAAGGCAGGCAGGUGGCUGCUUGCGGUUGGUGCCGCAAGAGGAAAGUCCGGGCUGCAGUGAGGCAGGACUCCAGCUAACGGCUGGCCGAAGCGAUUCGAGGGCAAGUGCAACAGAGAGUAGACCGCCGAUGGCGGGUUUUCCCGCACAGGUAAGGGUGAAAGGGUGGGGUAAGAGCCCACCGGUGCCCCCGGUAACGGGGGCAGCCAGGUAAACCCGGUCCGCAGCAAGAAGCACCUGGUACAAGCCUCACAUCUUGUGUGCUUCGCUCGAGCCCGUCGGUGACGGCGGGCCUAGAUAAAUAGUCACCCAACGACAGAACCCGGCUUAUCGCCUGCCUUCUUUU